Molecule: long non-coding RNA, 591 nt
Filed under: Sorghum bicolor (sorghum)
Lineage: Eukaryota; Viridiplantae; Streptophyta; Magnoliopsida; Poales; Poaceae
Description: long non-coding RNA (SBIC_LNC018163)
Source: RNAcentral
UGACAUUGGACCAACUAAGAAUGCAAAGGUAGGCAGAUAAGCUCACAUAAAUAAAAAAACCAUUAGCAUCUAUCUCCAAGCACUUCUGGAUAAAGCUGCAUGAUUUAACUUGGUUGGUACCCAUAAAGCUCCUUCUUGUGUCCAAACAUAUAUCCAUGGCCAAAUAAAAAUAAGUACCAUCUCAAUUUUUGUUUCUUAUUUUGGUAGAUUUUUUUGAGAUACCUUCAUUACCAUGCAGAUUAAUAAACAAAUAAGUUCAAUGGAUAUAAGAUCUAAAAAACACAAACACCACAAAAUUCUGAGAUUCUAACUGGUCAUUUGAAUGUAUGACAAGUUGACAACAUACAACAGUUAAAUGAUAAGGAGACAUAUGCAGUUUUAAUAAGUUCUUAUAAAAUAAAGCAUUCCAGCUAGAUCAUGAGACAAUGUACAUUUUAGAUUUCAGAAUUAGGCAAUACUCAGUGUGUUCAAAAAAAGUCAACAUGCACAGGAUUCCAACCCAAAGGACAAGCCACCAAAUAAAAUUUAAAGAAGACAACUAAUGAGGGAGGCAAAUUUCUUGCAGGUUACUAGAAAACAAACUAAAACAGA